This 72-nucleotide transfer RNA is filed under the name Candidatus Uhrbacteria bacterium RIFCSPHIGHO2_02_FULL_60_44. Its description in RNAcentral is "tRNA-Cys". It matches the Rfam family "tRNA". From Rfam's summary of the family: Transfer RNA (tRNA) molecules are approximately 80 nucleotides in length. Their secondary structure includes four short double-helical elements and three loops (D, anti-codon, and T loops). Further hydrogen bonds mediate the characteristic L-shaped molecular structure. tRNAs have two regions of fundamental functional importance: the anti-codon, which is responsible for specific mRNA codon recognition, and the 3' end, to which the tRNAs corresponding amino acid is attached (by aminoacyl-tRNA synthetases). tRNAs cope with the degeneracy of the genetic code in two manners: having more than one tRNA (with a specific anti-codon) for a particular amino acid; and 'wobble' base-pairing, i.e. permitting non-standard base-pairing at the 3rd anti-codon position. Lineage: Bacteria; Candidatus Uhriibacteriota. RNAcentral also lists the same sequence under 1 other name. The record is from RNAcentral.
GGAUGCAUAGCUCAGGCGGCAGAGCAUUCGGCACACCGCCGAAGGUCCCUGGUUCAAGUCCAGGUGCGUCCA